This 470-nucleotide ribosomal RNA is filed under the name uncultured bacterium. RNAcentral describes it as "bacterial SSU rRNA". It matches the Rfam family "Bacterial small subunit ribosomal RNA", at positions 63 to 548 of the family's 1533-position model. The record is from RNAcentral.
CGGAGCUUGAGAGAGCUUGCUUUCUUAAGCUUAGUGGCGAACGGGUGAGUAACGCGUGAGGAACCUGCCUCAGAGUGGGGGACAACAGUUGGAAACGACUGCUAAUACCGCAUAAGCCCACGGGUCCGCAUGGAUCUGAGGGAAAAGGAGCAAUCCGCUUUGAGAUGGCCUCGCGUCCGAUUAGCUAGUUGGUGAGGUAACGGCCCACCAAGGCGACGAUCGGUAGCCGGACUGAGAGGUUGGACGGCCACAUUGGGACUGAGACACGGCCCAGACUCCUACGGGAGGCAGCAGUGGGGAAUAUUGCACAAUGGGGGAAACCCUGAUGCAGCGACGCCGCGUGGAGGAAGAAGGUCUUCGGAUUGUAAACUCCUGUUGUUGGGGACGAUAAUGACGGUACCCAACAAGGAAGUGACGGCUAACUACGUGCCAGCAGCCGCGGUAAAACGUAGGUCACAAGCGUUGUCCGG